RNAcentral lists this long non-coding RNA (728 nucleotides) under Hordeum vulgare. Its description in RNAcentral is "long non-coding RNA (HVUL_LNC013066)". Lineage: Eukaryota; Viridiplantae; Streptophyta; Magnoliopsida; Poales; Poaceae. The record is from RNAcentral.
UAGAAGUUAUCAUAUCAAAAGUGCAGACUAGCUUUGAUUUAUCUCUCAGUUCUACAAUCGCUCUUCUGGAGAUGGAUAAAGAAUUCCAGCUCUUCAGUGGAAACAUUAGUGAGUCCUGUGGCUUAGGAAGCUUUGUGAUUGUUGUCACAUGGGAUACACUGUUGCAUUUGAAGUUCAAGGUUGAUCAUGAAGGCUGUAACAGUAAUAUUGAACGCAAUUGUUCCUUCAAAGCUAAGUGAAAUGAACACGCCAGCCAUCAACUAAAUCUUGAGACUGCCUCAGUUUUAGUUAAGGUGGCUUGGGCUGUGUUGCCUGCAUCGUUGAGCAAUUAACAGUAUUGUGUAUCCUGCGCUGUAUAUAACCGAAUGUACUAACUUGGACCCUUAUUUCAGUAGUUCGUGUAACUAGUUGCACACAAAUCCUGAGAACUUGGGCUGUGUUGCCUGCAUCGUUGAGCAAUUAACAGUAUUGCAUCCUGCACUGUAUAUAACCGAGUGUAUUAACUUGGACCCUUAUUUCAGUCGUUCGUGUAACUAGUUGCACCCAAAUCCUGAGAAUUUGCCAUUUCAGAAAUAACAUGCCUUGCCGACUCUAACAGAAGAAUCAGUACAAAAGAACUUCGACUUUCCUUUCUCAGUAUUUGCUUCGCUCAAAUACUUUGCUCUAAUUUAUCAGUUUAUGCAUAUUGCACUUUCUUGAUACUCGGUACUCCUAAACUAAUAUAAGAG